Long non-coding RNA from Tribolium madens (black flour beetle), 579 nucleotides. RefSeq lists it as uncharacterized. NCBI's taxonomy places the organism in Eukaryota, Metazoa, Arthropoda, Insecta, Coleoptera, Tenebrionidae. The record is from RefSeq and is a predicted model, not a curated record. The transcript is spliced from 3 exons.
GGCAAGUUUUAUUUUACUCAAUAACUCAAUGUUGCACAAUUAUUUAUCAUUAUACGCAUUGUAAAACCUACUAAUUUUUACUAACAAAAAUUAUCACAUUACAUAUCAAAGUUUUAAAAUGGUUGUCGCUUUUCGCCCCAUAAUAACCCCUAAGCCGAAUUUGCCCACCAAGCAAAAGGUGGCUCAAUUGUACCGUUAUUUCUAAUAUGAGGAUCUGGGAUCCGGGCUAAGGUGUGGAACACAACAAAAAAGUGUGAUUGUGAGUGAGGUUUUCCUGGAGGAUGUGGUCACAAUGUGUCUGCUGCAAGUGUUGAAAGACUUCGGGAGAGACAAAAGUGAGGUUAGGGGCGUUCUGAGGAAGUUGCCUCAAAGACAGCCGGCUGAGAAGGAACUCGACUUAAUUUUUUACAUCCCAAUGAGCGAAAAAUGAGCCUUGCAUUGAGGAAGAAGUUGAGGAGCUCAGUCUCGCAGCGUCUGCCUCAACUGGGGCCCCCUACGUCAUGAGGCGGAAUUUCUGUUUGAAGAAUUCAAAGAAAUCGUCUUCGAUGGAACAGCGGGAUUACAGUUUUUUUGCAAUAC